GGGCCCGCACAAGCGGUGGAGCAUGUGGUUUAAUUCGAUGAUACGCGAGGAACCUUACCAGGGCUUAAAUGUAAGUUGCAUAAGCUAGAGAUAGCUUUUUCUUCGGACAGAUUACAAGGUGCUGCAUGGUUGUCGUCAGCUCGUGCCGUGAGGUGUCAGGUUAAGUCCUAUAACGAGCGCAACCCCUGUUGUUAGUUGCCAGCGAGUAAUGUCGGGAACUCUAACAAGACUGCCGGUGCAAACCGUGAGGAAGGUGGGGAUGACGUCAAAUCAUCACGGCCCUUACGUCCUGGCCACACACGUGCUACAAUGGCCGGUACAGAGAGCAGCCACUACGCGAGUAGGAG
RNAcentral lists this ribosomal RNA (347 nucleotides) under uncultured bacterium. Its description in RNAcentral is "bacterial SSU rRNA". It matches the Rfam family "Bacterial small subunit ribosomal RNA", at positions 917 to 1267 of the family's 1533-position model. The record is from RNAcentral.